UCUGGUGACCAUAGCGUAGUGGAACCACCCGUUCCCAUCCCGAACACGGAAGUGAAACAUUGCAGCGCCGAUGGUAGUGUAGCGAAAGGCUACGUGAGAGUAGGUCGUUGCCAGUU
Non-coding RNA from Verrucomicrobiaceae bacterium TMED76, 116 nucleotides. NCBI's taxonomy places the organism in Bacteria, Pseudomonadati, Verrucomicrobiota, Verrucomicrobiia, Verrucomicrobiales, Verrucomicrobiaceae. The record is from Rfam.